This is a long non-coding RNA of Rhopalosiphum padi (bird cherry-oat aphid), 726 nucleotides long. RefSeq lists it as uncharacterized. The transcript has 3 exons. The record is from RefSeq and is a predicted model, not a curated record. NCBI's taxonomy places the organism in Eukaryota, Metazoa, Arthropoda, Insecta, Hemiptera, Aphididae.
AUUUUUUUCUAGACAGAAACCACAAGAACCAAACUAAAUCGAAGAGUAUCAAUAUUUUAAAUAACCAAAAUCAUUGGAAAAACAUGAAAUUGAAAUAUCACCACAAAAUAGUACUAAGUCAAUGUUUUUCAAUCUUUGUUUAAACACGGCACACAACUCAGUUAUGAACAACUUUUUCUUCAACGAACGCUUUACACAUGCACGUCUAAUGAAUGGUAGCGGCACACCGGUUGAAAAAUGUAGAUGAAUCGUUUUAUUACAGAUCACUAGAAAUUACUGUUUACAGAGCAAGUACGCGUGCACGCUUCACUCAUGGUCUUGUCUAAACUUUAGAGACUAUUAUAUUAUACUGUGCGUAUAACAUAAUUGUGUCGUCAAUAUUUAAUUAGGUACUAUACAUUAUUAUAUCAUAGUAGUCAUAGUACCCCAUAGAAAAUUAUUGCGCACAGUAAAAUUGAAUUAAAAAUGUAUGUAUAAUAUUAUGUUGCCGCUCAAGAACCUAAAUCUAACUAACACAAUAUAACAAGUAAAGGACAGAAUUUAUUAAUGAAGUAUUUAAAUCACUGAACACAAACGUAAAACGACGAAAAUAAUACAAUAAAUUAUAUAAACUCCCAAACAUAUACAAUUUAAAUUAAAUAGUAAAAUACACAAUAAUUGUAUACUAGAGAAAUAUAUUAUAGUCCAAUACUAUAUCGUCUAUUGUAAUAUACUAAUAUCAUAUAG